AGUCCUAUUCAUACCUGUCUUCGUAUAUCCCCAGUAAUAUGGUCUGGGGGUCUCUACCAGGCAACCGUAAAUUGCCCGGCUACGAAGGCGGGCCUUAGCUUU
RNAcentral lists this non-coding RNA (102 nucleotides) under Thermanaeromonas toyohensis. Its description in RNAcentral is "Guanine sequence". It matches the Rfam family "Purine riboswitch aptamer". From Rfam's summary of the family: Riboswitches are metabolite binding domains within certain messenger RNAs that serve as precision sensors for their corresponding targets. Allosteric rearrangement of mRNA structure is mediated by ligand binding, and this results in modulation of gene expression. The record is from RNAcentral. Lineage: Bacteria; Bacillati; Bacillota; Clostridia; Neomoorellales; Neomoorellaceae. RNAcentral also lists the same sequence under 1 other name.